RNAcentral lists this long non-coding RNA (1692 nucleotides) under Homo sapiens (human). RNAcentral's name for it is "HSALNT0253741". The record is from RNAcentral. Lineage: Eukaryota; Metazoa; Chordata; Mammalia; Primates; Hominidae.
UGGAAUUCAGCUGUCAACAGGGACUGAAUUCUAGGCAUUUACAUUUAAUUUUCAUAUGCACUAUGGUAUCCUGGAACAUUUCCAUAUGAACCUAAAAUUAAAAUUUGAAGCAAAUGCAAUAUAUUUCUGAAAUCAUUCUUGGUUCUAGGAGUUUAUAACCCAGUGGUUAUUAGAAUCUUGAGUCUGAUUCUUGGGCUUAAGCCUUAGUGUCAAAUUUGAAUUUGGAUUCAUCAUUGAAUUGUCACGGACCUACAGCCACAUUUAAAAAUCUUUGAAUCCAAAGGGUUGCUUGUAACGGUGAACCUUUAUACACUUUGAGCUGUGAAAGUGACCUUUAUUUUUAUUACUAUCAUCAACCAUUUCAUCGGAUGCCACUGUCAACUGGCUUAAAUAUUAUUUGCCUCAGUGUAUGUAAGCCCUAGGGAAUUGUUAUCCCCAUUCAUCAGCUGAGAUUGUAUUUUACUUAGCAUUUAUAUCCUUCCAUUAUGUAACAUUAUGUAGCUGAAUGUAAGGAAUAUGCUAACUAUCCUUAAAUAUAAUUUUCCUCCUAAGCAGAUCAUAUGAGAUUAUUCUGCCUCUUGCAAAAACUCCUCUGUUAAAUAUUUUAUCUCAUUGCCUAGAAAUAUUCUUAAAUAUGAUACAGAUAAAUCAAAAAAAUUAAGUUGCUCACAGUUUUAUUGGCAAUAAUGUGAGAAAUAAUUAUAAAUUCUAAGUUGUGGGGUUUUUGCUGUUGUGGUUUAUUUAUUUGUUUCCCAUAUCAAAAUUUACAGCGAUAUUUUAUUAACAUGUUAGAAAUCUUUCAGACUACCAAUAAAACUUUAAUCCAUAUCAUCGUUUCCUAUUGACUUUAAAGCUAGAGUAAUUUAUCCUGAAAUUUUUAUCUAUCAUCUUCAGAAUAAGCGGUUUGUAUAGAUGUCGCUGUCUCUCUUUUCAACUGAAACUGCACCCUCGUUCUGUUACAUUUGUGAUGAAAGAGAGUUAAGGGUUUCUAGCUAAGUGGCAGUUUUCAAAAUGUGGGUCACAGCUCAUUUGUGGGUCAUGAGAUCAGCUUAGCGGCUCUAAACCAGUCUUGUGGGGUUUUUUUUUUUUUGUUUUUUUCUUUUUUAAUGAAAGAAAAUCGAGUAGGAAGUGUCAGGCUUUGCGGCAAAUUGAAAGCGUGAGUCCCGGUUGAUGUUCCUGCAUGGGUGUGGCUGGGCUGUCCAUGUGAAGUGGGUCAUGACCAAACCGUUUGAAAAACAUCGCUGUAUGGAUGCAUCUUUUCCUUUGCGUCUUUCUUUUCUUUUCUCUCUUCUGCUUUGAGCCAUCACCUUGCUUAGGAAGGAUUCACGGCUCGGGGUAUGAAGCUGACGUCAGAUUGCCAGGAUUCAGAUUUGAGCUCUGUCAUUUCCCUCAUCUGGGAAAUGGGCAUAAGGACACUGCCAGCUUCACAGACUCCUUGUGCGGGUGACACUCGUGGAAGGGAGCCGCGUGCCGGGUGACAGCGGCAUAGUCAACAGCAGAUCACACGUUCCCCGCUGGGCCCAUCAGAUCACAGUGGAGCUGGAAACUCCCCAUUGCCUGGUGAUGCUGGGACCGCCGCAUGUAGCACAAAGGGUGACUCACAUGUGUGUGGAGAUGCUGGUGUACACAAGCAGACUGCACUGCCGGUCUGUGAAAGUCCAGCACACACAGCUGUGUCCAGUACAUGAUGCU